CUGCCACUCUUACAGAUAUAACCGAAUUACUUCCAUUGCAAAGUCAUUUUCAUUAUACCAUUAAGCCUAUGAAAAGGCCAGACUGCUGGCCGAACAAACAUCUCAAAAAACACUUGGUACAUUGGUUCCAUAGCAGUUACACUGAUUUUAGCACUUUUAUUUUACAAGUUAGCCAACCAUGCAAAAAGCAGCAAUUAUAAUUAUUAAAUAGAAGAAAAAAUUGAAUUACAUUUGUUAGUUGAGACAGAGCUUCGCCGAGUAAACACCAUGUAACGGGCGUUGUGAGCUUUGCUGUGCUCAUUCCAUUUUCCAGAGUUUUGCAUCUGCCUCGGACGUGGCGGUAUUUGAUGGCAUCGACUGUCUGCACAUGCAGCUCUCGUGUUAGACUUGCAUUUUGAUUUUGAUUUUGCCUCGUUUUGCCAGGCAAACAAUGAACCUUUUCGUCACGUGACCACGCCCGAGACGUGCAUUGGAUUUUGAUUAUAAAAUAACUGUUAAAUCAAACACCUGCUGCCGUAUAACCUUGCCUUGUCGUCCCACCUGGACGAAAGCGACCCAAAAAUUAAACCAAACAUUGAGCGUACGGAAUGCAAAGCAAAGCAAAUCAUCAGCCAAUUAAUCUCUCUAUUGUCAAAGACUCAGAGCUGGAUGGAAGACUACUCAAGUGCGAGCACUCAUUACAUAUUCCUUUUUGAUUUGAGGCGAAUUUUGAAGAUAACUCUUCUGUUCCUAUGAGGCAAAUUCUACAAUUGGAAUCUAUCUAAAUUUAGUUUUUGCCUAUUUUUAUAUUGUUUUUAGUUGGAAAUUUAAGUGUGUUUAAAAAUGCAGGCACAAAUAAAAUAUGUUUGAACACCA
Long non-coding RNA from Drosophila hydei, 855 nucleotides. RefSeq lists it as uncharacterized. NCBI's taxonomy places the organism in Eukaryota, Metazoa, Arthropoda, Insecta, Diptera, Drosophilidae. The transcript is spliced from 5 exons. The record is from RefSeq and is a predicted model, not a curated record.